UGAUAGCAAGAAGCAGAAUCCAUGUGUGAGC
Molecule: non-coding RNA, 31 nt
Filed under: Rattus norvegicus (Norway rat)
Lineage: Eukaryota; Metazoa; Chordata; Mammalia; Rodentia; Muridae
Source: RNAcentral